GGUCUCAAGCUUGUGAAGAUGGUCAUGGAGAGUGCCAUUGUUCAUGUACUCGAAAACCAAGACACGUUCGUUAUUGUCUUCACAAUAGCCAUAUAGGGUAACGAGGUUCUUGUGAUUGAGUCGAGACAGAAACUCUAGCUCAUUGAGGAAUGCACUGUCUUUGUCCUCUUGUCUAUACUUUGAACCACCAGCAUAGGAAGAUGAGGCUGAAGCUUCUGCCCUUUUUAUGGCUACUUCUCGACCAUCAUCUAGUGUAGCAUGAUAAACAGAACCAAAACUUCCUGUCCCGAUUUUGUGCUCUUCAGAGAAGUUAUUUGUCACUUGAAGUAACAAUUGCAAGGAAAAUUCUUCCAAGUGACCCCCAUUUCCCAUACUAAGGAAUUUACUUGGUCUUUUCUCCAAGAUUGAUGGCUGAGGACCUAAUUGAUCUUGAACUUGAGAUGUCUGGCUGCCUUGCUGUGGAG
This 464-nucleotide unclassified non-coding RNA is filed under the name Hevea brasiliensis (rubber tree). Lineage: Eukaryota; Viridiplantae; Streptophyta; Magnoliopsida; Malpighiales; Euphorbiaceae. The record is from RNAcentral.